CGCUGGCGGCACGCUUAACACAUGCAAGUCGAACGGAGUUUUGAGAGCUUGCUUUAAAAACUUAGUGGCGGACGGGUGAGUAACACGUGAGCAAUCUGCCUUUCAGAGGGGGAUAGCAGUUGGAAACGACUGAUAAUACCGCAUAAUAUAGUAGGAUCGCAUGAUUUAACUAUCAAAGAUUUAUCGCUGAAAGAUGAGCUCGCGUCUGAUUAGAUAGUUGGUGAGGUAACGGCUCACCAAGUCGACGAUCAGUAGCCGGACUGAGAGGUUGAACGGCCACAUUGGGACUGAGACACGGCCCAGACUCCUACGGGAGGCAGCAGUGGGGAAUAUUGCACAAUGGGCGCAAGCCUGAAUGCAGCGAUGCCGCGUGAGGGAAGAAGGUUUUAGGAUUGUAAACCUCUGUCUUUGGGGACGAUAAUGACGGUACCCAAGGAGGAAGCUCCGGCUAACUACGUGCCAGCAGCUGC
RNAcentral lists this ribosomal RNA (470 nucleotides) under uncultured bacterium. RNAcentral describes it as "bacterial SSU rRNA". It matches the Rfam family "Bacterial small subunit ribosomal RNA", at positions 34 to 518 of the family's 1533-position model. The record is from RNAcentral.